UACGUAGGGUGCGAGCGUUAAUCGGAAUUACUGGGCGUAAAGCGUGCGCAGGCGGUUCUCCAAGUCCGUUGUGAAAGCCCCGGGCUCAACAUGGGAAUGGCAGUGGAAACUAGGGGACUGGAAUCUGGCAGAGGGGGGUGGAAUGCCGCGUGUAGCAGUGAAAUGCGUAGAGAUGCGGCGGAACACCGAUGGCGAAGGCAGCCCCCUGGGCUGAGAUUGACGCUCAGGCACGAAAGCGUGGGGAGCAAACAGG
Molecule: ribosomal RNA, 253 nt
Filed under: uncultured bacterium
Lineage: Bacteria
Description: partial 16S ribosomal RNA
Rfam family: Bacterial small subunit ribosomal RNA
Source: RNAcentral